This 409-nucleotide ribosomal RNA is filed under the name uncultured bacterium. RNAcentral's name for it is "partial 16S ribosomal RNA". It matches the Rfam family "Bacterial small subunit ribosomal RNA", at positions 355 to 755 of the family's 1533-position model. The record is from RNAcentral.
UGGGGAAUUUUGGACAAUGGGGGCAACCCUGAUCCAGCCAUCCCGCGUGUGCGAUGAAGGCCUUCGGGUUGUAAAGCACUUUUGGCAGGGAAGAAACAGCCUGGGAUAAUACCCCGGGCGACUGACGGUACCUGCAGAAUAAGCACCGGCUAACUACGUGCCAGCAGCCGCGGUAAUACGUAGGGUGCAAGCGUUAAUCGGAAUUACUGGGCGUAAAGCGUGCGCAGGCGGUUCGGAAAGAAAGGUGUGAAAUCCCAGGGCUUAACCUUGGAACUGCACUUUUAACUACCGAGCUAGAGUACGUCAGAGGGGGGUAGAAUUCCACGUGUAGCAGUGAAAUGCGUAGAGAUGUGGAGGAAUACCGAUGGCGAAGGCAGCCCCCCUGGGAUGAUACUGACGCUCAUGCACG